This 468-nucleotide ribosomal RNA is filed under the name uncultured bacterium. RNAcentral's name for it is "partial 16S ribosomal RNA". It matches the Rfam family "Bacterial small subunit ribosomal RNA", at positions 28 to 507 of the family's 1533-position model. The record is from RNAcentral.
GACGAACGCUGGCGGCGUGCUUAACACAUGCAAGUCGAACGGAAAGGCCCGGCGUUUGUGGGGUGCUCGAUUGCCGAGCAGGGGAGUAACACGUGAGUAACCUGCCCUUGUCUUUGGGAUAACAUCAGGAAACUGGGGCUAAUACCGGGUAGGAGCUCCUGCUGCAUGUGGUUGUUUGGAAAGAUUCGGCGGUUGUGGAUGGACUCGCGGCUUAUCAGCUGGUUGGUGGAGUAGUGGCUGACCAAGCCUUUGACGGGUAGCCGGCAUGAGAGGGUGACCGGCCACAUUGGGACUAAGAGACGGCCCAGACGCCUACGUGACGCAGUAGUGGGGAAUCUGGCACAAUGGGCGGAAGCCUGAUGCAGCAACGUCGCGUGCGGGAUGACGGCCUUCGGGUUGUAAACCGCUUUCUACUGUGCCGAAGACUGAGUGACGGUAACGGGUAAAGAAGCACCGGCUAACUACGUG